Molecule: ribosomal RNA, 512 nt
Filed under: uncultured bacterium
Lineage: Bacteria
Description: bacterial SSU rRNA
Rfam family: Bacterial small subunit ribosomal RNA
Source: RNAcentral
GAUCAUGGCUCAGGAUGAACGCUAGCGGCAGGCUUAACACAUGCAAGUCGAGGGGCAGCGGGAUGUAGCAAUACAUUGCCGGCGACCGGCGGAUGGGUGCGUAACGCGUAUGCAACCUACCUUAUACAGGGGAAUAACCUUUCGAAAGGGAGACUAACACCCCAUAGUAUUGAUUUAAGGCAUCUUAGAUUAAUUAAAUAUUUAUAGGUAUAAGAUGGGCAUGCGUAUGAUUAGCUAGUUGGUAAGGUAACGGCUUACCAAGGCGACGAUCAUUAGGGGUUCUGAGAGGAAGGUCCCCCACACUGGUACUGAGACACGGACCAGACUCCUACGGGAGGCAGCAGUGAGGAAUAUUGGUCAAUGGGCGCAAGCCUGAACCAGCCAUGCCGCGUGCAGGGAAAGACGGCCUUAUGGGUUGUAAACUGCUUUUACAUAAGACUAACCGUAUAUUUGCGAAUAUACCUGAAUGUAUUAUGAGAAUAAGGAUCGGCUAACUCCGUGCCAGCCGCAGC